Molecule: ribosomal RNA, 327 nt
Filed under: uncultured eukaryote
Lineage: Eukaryota
Description: partial 18S ribosomal RNA
Rfam family: Eukaryotic small subunit ribosomal RNA
Source: RNAcentral
CCCUUAGAUGUUCUGGGCCGCACGCGCGCUACACUGACGCUGUCAGAGAGUGUCUCCUUCACCGAGAGGUGUGGGUAAUCUUUUAAACAUCGUCGUGCUGGGGAUAGAUCAUUGCAAUUUUUGAUCUUAAACGAGGAAUUCCUAGUAAGCGCGAGUCAUCAGCUCGCGCUGAUUACGUCCCUGCCCUUUGUACACACCGCCCGUCGCUACUACCGAUUGAAUGGUUUAGUGAGGCCUUCUGACUGGCGCCGCUACUCUGGCAACAGAGCGGCGGAUGCCGGGAAGUUGGUCAAACUUGAUCAUUUAGAGGAAGUAAAAGUCGUAACA